RNAcentral lists this long non-coding RNA (507 nucleotides) under Homo sapiens (human). Its description in RNAcentral is "HSALNT0128652". Lineage: Eukaryota; Metazoa; Chordata; Mammalia; Primates; Hominidae. The record is from RNAcentral.
AAAGAGUCUCCUCCCAGCUCCUUCCUGGCCUGCUAGUGAGUUCGCCUUGUUACUUUCUUUCUGCAAAAACUAAAGCCAGGAAUCAUUUUCAGUGAAUCAAUUGAAUACAGCUAGUAGAAACAUAAAAAGGUGGCAAUUAAACAGUAAGAAAGCAUCUGGCAUAAAUUAAGUGAACAGAUCACCAAAUCAUUUGGAAAACAACACAUAUAUUUGGCACUGGUUUUGGCAUUUGGAGGGAACACGCUUAGGAGUAAGAGUCUGCAACCAAGAAGCUUACAUUCUAAGAGAGAAAAUAAGAAAAUAAAGGUAAAUAACAACGGAAGGCAGAAUAGAAAGAUUGUAAGGGUGGUUCAAAAGGCUCUGAGUGGCAAAAAAAGAGAUCACAUCUUGUUGGUGUGAGGUUUCAAAAGGAUGCUUUCUAGAUAAACUUUGAAGAGGAAAUAAAGAUGGCAAAGAAAAGAUACAUUGCUUGCCAAAACUAUGUUAUUUCAGAAAAUAAUCAAGGCA